UAGGGAAUCUUCGGCAAUGGGGGGAACCCUGACCGAGCAACGCCGCGUGAGUGAAGAAGGUUUUCGGAUCGUAAAGCUCUGUUGUUAAGGAAGAACGAGUGUGAGAAUGGAAAGUUCAUACUGUGACGGUACUUAACCAGAAAGGGACGGCUAACUACGUGCCAGCAGCCGCGGUAAUACGUAGGUCCCGAGCGUUGUCCGGAUUUAUUGGGCGUAAAGCGAGCGCAGGCGGUUACAUAAGUCUGAAGUUAAAGGCAGUGGCUCAACCAUUGUAGGCUUUGGAAACUGUUUAACUUGAGUGCAGAAGGGGAGAGUGGAAUUCCAUGUGUAGCGGUGAAAUGCGUAGAUAUAUGGAGGAACACCGGUGGCGAAAGCGGCUCUCUGGUCUGUAACUGACGCUGAGGCUCGAAAGCGUGGGGAGCGAACAGG
RNAcentral lists this ribosomal RNA (429 nucleotides) under Bacteroidota bacterium. Its description in RNAcentral is "Bacteroidetes bacterium partial 16S ribosomal RNA". It matches the Rfam family "Bacterial small subunit ribosomal RNA", at positions 355 to 776 of the family's 1533-position model. The record is from RNAcentral. Lineage: Bacteria; Pseudomonadati; Bacteroidota.